Non-coding RNA from Pelodiscus sinensis (Chinese soft-shelled turtle), 510 nucleotides. NCBI's taxonomy places the organism in Eukaryota, Metazoa, Chordata, Testudines, Trionychidae. The record is from RefSeq and is a predicted model, not a curated record.
AGAUGUUAGUAUGAAAUCCCAUUGGAGCCCCCAGGAAGCCAGGGCAACUUCGGUAGAAGCUGUGCUGAAGGAAUGAAAGGCUGCAGAGGAAACAAUAUCAUCAUCAGUUCUGAGAUUUGAAGAACUCAAAAUAUGAAAUUGCCAAACUACUCACUGCAGUAUAUGACCGGUCACAUAAAUCAGACUCUUUACAAGCUAAUUGGAGGAUAACUAAUGUGAAGCCAUUAAAAAAAAAGAUUCUAGGGGAAAUCCUGCAAUUACAGGACAAUACAUCUAACUCCAGUAGCAGCCGCAGCAGCUGCGAGUGCAGGGCGCUCCACCCCGCCCAGGACAUCCUCCUGCACCCAGGCCAGCAGGGUGACCCAAAACCAGGAGUACCACCAGAGGCAGCCUCUGGGGAUCCUGCAAAGGCCGGUCCACAUCCUGGAGCAUUGGGUGCAUGAAGACCUGCAGCUGCGGCAGAACUGGCCGGAGCUGUUUGCCCAGGGCUGUGCCAUCUGCGACCACCUG